ACAUGAAAGAAGAAGUUUCCGCUUCUCGCCUUGUUGACAUUAGUGUUUUCAGGCUAACAAACUAUUUAAUUAAGUCUGUUUGCGGGUAUUUCUGAGAUGAAAUACCCGUUUUUUCAUGUUU
Molecule: small RNA, 121 nt
Filed under: Brochothrix thermosphacta
Lineage: Bacteria; Bacillati; Bacillota; Bacilli; Caryophanales; Listeriaceae
Description: L20_leader
Rfam family: Ribosomal protein L20 leader
About the family: This family is a putative r-protein leader autoregulatory structure found in B. subtilis and other low-GC Gram-positive bacteria.
Source: RNAcentral